UACGUAGGGUGCGAGCGUUAAUCGGAAUUACUGGGCGUAAAGCGUGCGCAGGCGGCUUUGCAAGACAGGUGUGAAAUCCCCGGGCUCAACCUGGGAACUGCAUUUGUGACUGCAAGGCUAGAGUACGGCAGAGGGGGAUGGAAUUCCGCGUGUAGCAGUGAAAUGCGUAGAUAUGCGGAGGAACACCGAUGGCGAAGGCAAUCCCCUGGGCCUGUACUGACGCUCAUGCACGAAAGCGUGGGGAGCAAACAGG
Molecule: ribosomal RNA, 253 nt
Filed under: uncultured bacterium
Lineage: Bacteria
Description: partial 16S ribosomal RNA
Rfam family: Bacterial small subunit ribosomal RNA
Source: RNAcentral